GAUGAAGAACGUAGUGAAAUGCGAUAAUUAAUGUGAAUUGCAGAAUUCAGUGAAUCAUCGAGUCUUUGAACGCACAUUGCGCCCCCUGGUAUUCCGGGGGGCAUGCCUGUCCGAGCGUCAUUGCUGCCCUCAAGCACGGCUUGUGUGUUGGGCUUCCGUCCCUGGCAACGGGGACGGGCCCAAAAGGCAGUGGCGGCACCAUGUCUGGUCCUCGAGCGUAUGGGGCUUUGUCACCCGCUCCCGUAGGUCCAGCUGGCAGCUAGCCUCGCAACCAAUCUUUUUAACCAGGUCGACCUCGGAUCAGGUAGGGAUACCCGCUGAACUUAAGCAUAUCAAUAAGCGGAGGA
RNAcentral lists this unclassified non-coding RNA (347 nucleotides) under soil metagenome. Its description in RNAcentral is "partial contains 5.8S ribosomal RNA, internal transcribed spacer 2, and large subunit ribosomal RNA". The stretch from base 1 to 120 matches the Rfam family "5.8S ribosomal RNA", at positions 35 to 154 of the family's 154-position model. The record is from RNAcentral.